UAAAUUAUGACUCUUUAUGCAUGUUGUUCUGGAUUUAGAGAAUUACUAUAAUAAUGUAUCAACGUUUUUGGUGUUUAAUAGUAAAAACUAGGUGUGCGGCGUCAAUGCUUGACUUGUCGCAACUGUUUGGUUGCUUCCGGCUUCCGUAGUUUAAACUCUGUUCUGUAACCACCAGGGGGCUGAAAUAUGGGCGAAAUGACGGCGUGGGAAAUGUGCUGUAAAGCAGAUGCGUCGCUUUACCCUCACUCGAACCGCUGAAGCCGGUGUGGAAGGACCGCAUCUCACUGAACGAUGCUCUUCCAAAUGGAUUCCAGUUCUGACGAGAAUCAUUUGAAGACAGCAGCAAAGCGGUGUUAGUGGAAAAUUCACAGAGAUAAGGAAAACGGUAGAUAUUAGUUUCUGCGAUAGCGGCAAGACGGCUCAAACUGUGUGUGUUAAAUCAAUAUUAUUAUUAUUGUUAUCAUUUGGUGUUUAAACUAUUACAAUAGGCAGAAGUUUUUUUAGAGCUGAUUUUUUGCUAUUUUUUGAUCCUAAUACCUGAGUAUCGUAAAUCCAGUCCACAU
This is a long non-coding RNA of Poecilia latipinna (sailfin molly), 563 nucleotides long. RefSeq lists it as uncharacterized. Lineage: Eukaryota; Metazoa; Chordata; Actinopteri; Cyprinodontiformes; Poeciliidae. The record is from RefSeq and is a predicted model, not a curated record. The transcript is spliced from 3 exons.